GAAGGGCAUUGAGCGGCGAUGUCUGAUUAGCUAGUUGGUGAGGUAAAGGCUUACCAAGGCUUCGAUCAGUAGCUGGUCUGAGAGGACGACCAGCCACACUGGGACUGAGACACGGCCCAGACUCCUACGGGAGGCAGCAGUGGGGAAUUUUGGACAAUGGGGGCAACCCUGAUCCAGCCAUGCCGCGUGAGUGAAGAAGGCCUUCGGGUUGUAAAGCUCUUUCAGCCGGAACGAAAAGGUUACGGUUAAUACCCGUGACUAAUGACGGUACCGGAAGAAGAAGCACCGGCUAACUACGUGCCAGCAGCCGCGGUAAUACGUAGGGUGCGAGCGUUAAUCGGAAUUACUGGGCGUAAAGCGUGCGCAGGCGGUUUUGUAAGUCAGAUGUGAAAUCCCCGGGCUUAACCUGGGAACUGCGUUUGAAACUACAAAGGCUAGA
This 439-nucleotide ribosomal RNA is filed under the name uncultured ammonia-oxidizing bacterium. RNAcentral describes it as "bacterial SSU rRNA". It matches the Rfam family "Bacterial small subunit ribosomal RNA", at positions 214 to 645 of the family's 1533-position model. The record is from RNAcentral.